Molecule: ribosomal RNA, 322 nt
Filed under: uncultured eukaryote
Lineage: Eukaryota
Description: partial 18S ribosomal RNA
Rfam family: Eukaryotic small subunit ribosomal RNA
Source: RNAcentral
CCCUUAGAUGUUCUGGGCCGCACGCGUGCUACACUGAGUGGAUCAGCGGGUCAGGUUGCGCGAAAGUGUUUCCUAAUCUUGAAAUCCGCUCGUGAUGGGGAUUGACGGUUGCAAUUUUCCGUCAUGAACGAGGAAUACCUUGUAAGCGCGGGUCAUCAUCCCGCGCUGAAUACGUCCCUGCCCUUUGUACACACCGCCCGUCGCUCCUACCGAUUGGGUGGUCCGGUGAGGCUUUGGGAUCUGAGCAAAGAGAGCGUUUCGCUCGUUUUGCCCGGAAAACUCAGUCGAACCUUAUCAUUUAGAGGAAGGAGAAGUCGUAACA